This 404-nucleotide ribosomal RNA is filed under the name uncultured bacterium. Its description in RNAcentral is "partial 16S ribosomal RNA". It matches the Rfam family "Bacterial small subunit ribosomal RNA", at positions 28 to 526 of the family's 1533-position model. The record is from RNAcentral.
GACGAACGCUGGCGGCGUGCCUAACACAUGCAAGUCGAGCGAGCGGCGGACGGGUGAGUAAUGCCUGGGAAUUGCCCAGUCGAGGGGGAUAACAGUUGGAAACGACUGCUAAUACCGCAUACGAUUGGAUUGCCUAGGGGGGAUUAGCUAGUUGGUGAGGUAAUGGCUCACCAAGGCGACGAUCCCUAGCUGGUCUGAGAGGAUGAUCGUCCACACUGGAACUGAGACACGCUCCAGACUCCUACGGGAGGCAGCAGUGGGGAAUAUUGCACAAUGGGGGAAACCCGGAUGCGUCCAGGCCGCGUGUGUGAAGAAGGCCUUCGGGUUUUAAAGCACUUUCAUCGAGGAGGCGUUACUCGCAGAGGAAGCACCGGCUAACUCCGUGCCAGCAGCCGCGGUAAUAC